AUGUACCACGCGUACACGCCGGUUCCUCCGCGCCGUCCGCACCCGCCUGACGACCGCACGCUAGGUUUUGUUGGCC
Molecule: small RNA, 76 nt
Filed under: Xanthomonas arboricola
Lineage: Bacteria; Pseudomonadati; Pseudomonadota; Gammaproteobacteria; Lysobacterales; Lysobacteraceae
Also listed under: 1 other name
Description: sRNA sX9
Rfam family: Xanthomonas sRNA sX9
Source: RNAcentral